UGUCCAGGAAGGGUGAACGAACCCACAGUGUUCCGCUUACCGGGCAGAUGCCAUGUCCACUAGGCUACCCUGGAC
Molecule: non-coding RNA, 75 nt
Organism: Cordylochernes scorpioides
Lineage: Eukaryota; Metazoa; Arthropoda; Arachnida; Pseudoscorpiones; Chernetidae
Source: the annotation of a GenBank genome assembly